AAAUUACCUUUAUUUUAUUAGAAAAGGACAAAAUCCUUAAAUUAUAAUUUUUAAUUGGAAUUUUAUUAAUUU
Molecule: ribosomal RNA, 72 nt
Filed under: Exoprosopa sp. 1
Lineage: Eukaryota; Metazoa; Arthropoda; Insecta; Diptera; Bombyliidae
Description: partial 16S ribosomal RNA
Source: RNAcentral